CGGAGGGUGCAAGCGUUAUCCGGAUUCACUGGGUUUAAAGGGUGCGUAGGAGGGCAGGUAAGUCAGUGGUGAAAUCCCCGAGCUUAACUUGGGAACUGCCGUUGAUACUAUCAGUCUUGAAUAUUGUGGAGGUAAGCGGAAUAUGUCAUGUAGCGGUGAAAUGCUUAGAUAUGACAUAGAACACCAAUUGCGAAGGCAGCUUGCUACACAACUAUUGACUCUGAUGCACGAAAGCGUGGGGAUCAAACAGGAUUAGAUACCCUGGUAGUCCGACGCCCUAAACGAUGGAUACUCGACAUCAGCGAUACACAGUUGGUGUCUGAGCGAAAGCAUUAAGUAUCCCACCUGGGAAGUACGACCGCAAGGUUG
Molecule: ribosomal RNA, 369 nt
Filed under: uncultured organism
Description: bacterial SSU rRNA
Rfam family: Bacterial small subunit ribosomal RNA
Source: RNAcentral